GACGAACGCUGGCGGCGUGCUUAACACAUGCAAGUCGAACGGGCCUGUCUUCUUUUUUGGGGGUGGGUUGAGUGGCGAACGGGUGAGUAUCACGUGAGUAACCUGCCCUUCGGUCCUGGAUAACCGCUUGAAAGGGCGGCUAAUACGGGGUGGUCCGGUUGGUCCGCAUGGGCUGGUCGGGAUAGAUUCACUGUUUUUGGUGUUUCGGCGGGGGAUGGGCUCGCGGCCUAUCAGCUUGUUGGUGGGGUGAUGGCCUACCAAGGCGGUGACGGGUAGCCGGGCUGGGAGGGUGGGCGGCCACACUGGGACUGAGAUACGGCCCAGACUCCUGCGGGAGGCAGCAGUGGGGGGUAUUGCACAAUGGGCGGAAGCCUGAUGCAGCGACGUCGCGUGAGGGAUGGAGGCCUUCGGGUUGUGAACCUCUGUUCCCGGUGGUGAAGGCCCUGUCCGUGUGGUGGGGUUGACGGUAGCCGGGGAUGAAGCGCCGGCUAACUACGUG
RNAcentral lists this ribosomal RNA (499 nucleotides) under uncultured bacterium. Its description in RNAcentral is "partial 16S ribosomal RNA". It matches the Rfam family "Bacterial small subunit ribosomal RNA", at positions 28 to 507 of the family's 1533-position model. The record is from RNAcentral.